UACGUAGGUGGCAAGCGUUGUCCGGAUUUACUGGGCGUAAAGGAUGCGUAGGCGGAUAUUUAAGUCAGAUGUGAAAUCCCCAGGCUCAACCUGGGAACUGCGUCUGAUACUGGAUGGCUUGAAUCCGGGAGAGGGAUGCAGAAUUCCAGGUGUAGCGGUGAAAUGCGUAGAGAUCCGGAAGAACACCGGUGGCGAAGGCGGCCUGCUGGGCAGUUUAGCUGACACUGAGGCGCGACAGCGUGGGGAGCAAACAGG
Molecule: ribosomal RNA, 255 nt
Filed under: uncultured bacterium
Lineage: Bacteria
Description: partial 16S ribosomal RNA
Rfam family: Bacterial small subunit ribosomal RNA
Source: RNAcentral